This 328-nucleotide ribosomal RNA is filed under the name Epibulus insidiator (slingjaw wrasse). Its description in RNAcentral is "partial 12S ribosomal RNA". It matches the Rfam family "Bacterial small subunit ribosomal RNA", at positions 1053 to 1527 of the family's 1533-position model. The record is from RNAcentral. Lineage: Eukaryota; Metazoa; Chordata; Actinopteri; Labriformes; Labridae.
CGUCAGCUUACCCUGCAAAGGACCUAAAGUAAGCAAAAUUGGCUAACCCCCCAAAACGCCAGGUCGAGGUGUAGCGUAUGGAGAGGGAUGAGAUGGGCUACAUUCCAUCCCAGAUGGCACACGAACGGUUAGAUUGAAACAUCAACCUGAAGGAGGAUUUAGCAGUAAGUGGGAAAUAGAGCGUCCCACUGAAUCUGGCCCUGAAGCGCGCACACACCGCCCGUCACUCUCCCCGAAUAAAAACCUUUUUAUCCCUAAUACCAUACAACACGUAAGGGGAGGCAAGUCGUAACAUGGUAAGUGUACCGGAAGGUGCACUUGGAUAACC